CACGGAUAACAUACCGAAAGGUAUGCUAAUACGAGAUAAUAUGCUUUUAUCGCACGGUAGAAGUAUCAAAGCUCCGGCGGUACAGGAUGGACCCGCGUCUGAUUAGCUAGUUGGUGAGGUAACGGCUCACCAAGGCGACGAUCAGUAGCCAACCUGAGAGGGUGAUCGGCCACAUUGGAACUGAGACACGGUCCAAACUCUUACGGGAGGCAGCAGUGGGGAAUAUUUUAAAAGGGGCGAAAGCCUGAUGCAGCA
RNAcentral lists this ribosomal RNA (255 nucleotides) under uncultured bacterium. Its description in RNAcentral is "partial 16S ribosomal RNA". It matches the Rfam family "Bacterial small subunit ribosomal RNA", at positions 138 to 392 of the family's 1533-position model. The record is from RNAcentral.